This 1041-nucleotide ribosomal RNA is filed under the name uncultured bacterium. Its description in RNAcentral is "bacterial SSU rRNA". It matches the Rfam family "Bacterial small subunit ribosomal RNA", at positions 338 to 1398 of the family's 1533-position model. The record is from RNAcentral.
CCUACGGGGGGCAGCAGUGGGGAAUCUUGCACAAUGGAGGAAACUCUGAUGCAGCGAUGCCGCGUGAGUGAAGAAGGCCUUUGGGUUGUAAAGCUCUUUCGUCGGGGAAGAAAAUGACUGUACCCGAAUAAGAAGGUCCGGCUAACUUCGUGCCAGCAGCCGCGGUAAUACGAAGGGACCUAGCGUAGUUCGGAAUUACUGGGCUUAAAGAGUUCGUAGGUGGUUGAAAAAGUUGGUGGUGAAAUCCCAGAGCUUAACUCUGGAACUGCCAUCAAAACUUUUCAGCUAGAGUAUGAUAGAGGAAAGCAGAAUUUCUAGUGUAGAGGUGAAAUUCGUAGAUAUUAGAAAGAAUACCAAUUGCGAAGGCAGCUUUCUGGAUCAUUACUGACACUGAGGAACGAAAGCAUGGGUAGCGAAGAGGAUUAGAUACCCUCGUAGUCCAUGCCGUAAACGAUGUGUGUUAGACGUUGGAAAUUUAUUUUCAGUGUCGCAGGGAAACCGAUAAACACACCGCCUGGGGAGUACGACCGCAAGGUUAAAACUCAAAUGAAUUGACGGGGACCCGCACAAGUAGUGGAGCAUGUGGUUUAAUUCGAAGAUACGCGCAGAACCUUACCAACACUUGACAUGUUCGUCGCGACUCUAAGAGAUUAGAGUUUUCGGUUCGGCCGGACGAAACACAGGUGCUGCAUGGCUGUCGUCAGCUCGUGUCGUGAGAUGUUGGGUUAAGUCCCGCAACGAGCGCAACCCUCACUUUUAGUUGCCAUCAUUAAGUUGGGCACUCUGAAAGAACUGCCAGUGAUAAGCUGGAGGAAGGUGGGGAUGACGUCAAGUCCUCAUGGCCCUUACGUGUUGGGCUACACACGUGCUACAAUGGCAUCUACAACAGGAAGCAAAACGGCAACGUUAAGCAAAUCCCGAAAAGAUGCCUCAGUUCGGAUUGCACUCUGCAACUCGAGUGCAUGAAGCUGGAAUUACUAGUAAUCGUGGAUCAGCGUGCCACGGUGAAUGCGUUCCCGGGUCUUGUACACACCGCCCGUC